AUACGGAGGGUGCAAGCGUUAAUCGGAAUUACUGGGCGUAAAGCGCGCGUAGGCGGUUUGUUAAGCGAGAUGUGAAAGCCCUGGGCUCAACCUGGGAACUGCAUUUCGAACUGGCAGGCUAGAGUACAAGAGAGGGUGGUAGAAUUUCCUGUGUAGCGGUGAAAUGCGUAGAUAUAGGAAGGAAUACCAGUGGCGAAGGCGGCCACCUGGCUUGAUACUGACGCUGAGGUGCGAAAGCGUGGGGAGCGAACAGGAUUAGAAACCCCGGUAGUCC
RNAcentral lists this ribosomal RNA (274 nucleotides) under uncultured bacterium. RNAcentral's name for it is "partial 16S ribosomal RNA". It matches the Rfam family "Bacterial small subunit ribosomal RNA", at positions 523 to 796 of the family's 1533-position model. The record is from RNAcentral.